Molecule: ribosomal RNA, 384 nt
Filed under: uncultured Prevotella sp.
Lineage: Bacteria; Pseudomonadati; Bacteroidota; Bacteroidia; Bacteroidales; Prevotellaceae
Description: bacterial SSU rRNA
Rfam family: Bacterial small subunit ribosomal RNA
Source: RNAcentral
UGAGGAAUAUUGGUCAAUGGGCGAGAGCCUGAACCAGCCAAGUAGCGUGCAGGAUGACGGCCCUAUGGGUUGUAAACUGCUUUUAUAAGGGAAUAAAAGUUAGUCUCGUGAGACUUUUUGCAUGUACCUUAUGAAUAAGGACCGGCUAAUUCCGUGCCAGCAGCCGCGGUAAUACGGAAGGUCCGGCGUUAUCCGGAUUUAUUGGGUUUAAAGGGAGCGUAGGCCGGAGAUUAAGCGUGUUGUGAAAUGUAGGGGCUCAACCUCUGCACUGCAGCGCGAACUGGCUUGCUUGAGUACGCACAACGUGGGCGGAAUUCGUGGUGUAGCGGUGAAAUGCUUAGAUAUCACGAAGAACUCCGAUUGCGAAGGCAGCUCACUGGAGCG